RNAcentral lists this ribosomal RNA (799 nucleotides) under uncultured bacterium. RNAcentral's name for it is "bacterial SSU rRNA". It matches the Rfam family "Bacterial small subunit ribosomal RNA", at positions 8 to 796 of the family's 1533-position model. The record is from RNAcentral.
AGAGUUUGAUCCUGGCUCAGAUUGAACGCUGGCGGUAUGCUUAACACAUGCAAGUCGAACGGCAGCACGAGAGAGCUUGCUCUCUUGGUGGCGAGUGGCGGACGGGUGAGUAACGCGUAGGAAUCUGCCUAGUAGUGGGGGACAACUCGGAGAAAUCCGAGCUAAUACCGCAUACGCCCUACGGGGGAAAGCAGGGGAUCUUCGGACCUUGCGCUAUUAGAUGAGCCUGCGUUGGAUUAGCUUGUUGGUGAGGUAAUGGCUCACCAAGGCGACGAUCCAUAGCUGGUCUGAGAGGACGAUCAGCCACACUGGGACUGAGACACGGCCCAGACUCCUACGGGAGGCAGCAGUGGGGAAUAUUGGACAAUGGGCGCAAGCCUGAUCCAGCAAUACCGCGUGUGUGAAGAAGGCCUGCGGGUUGUAAAGCACUUUCAAUUGUGAAGAAAAGCUUGAGGUCAAUACCCUCGAGUCUUGACGUUAACUUUAGAAGAAGCACCGGCUAACCCUGUGCCAGCAGCCGCGGUAAUACAGGGGGUGCAAGCGUUAAUCGGAAUUACUGGGCGUAAAGCGCGCGUAGGCGGAUUGUUAAGUCAGAUGUGAAAGCCCUGGGCUCAACCUGGGAACUGCAUUUGAAACUGGCAAACUAGAGUAUGGUAGAGGAAAGUGGAAUUUCGGGUGUAGCGGUGAAAUGCGUAGAUAUCCGAAGGAACAUCAGUGGCGAAGGCGACUUUCUGGACCAAUACUGACGCUGAGGUGCGAAAGCGUGGGUAGCAAACAGGAUUAGAUACCCUAGUAGUCC